RNAcentral lists this microRNA (22 nucleotides) under Homo sapiens (human). Its description in RNAcentral is "hsa-miR-6759-3p". Lineage: Eukaryota; Metazoa; Chordata; Mammalia; Primates; Hominidae. The record is from miRBase by way of RNAcentral.
UGACCUUUGCCUCUCCCCUCAG